RNAcentral lists this unclassified non-coding RNA (972 nucleotides) under Hevea brasiliensis (rubber tree). Lineage: Eukaryota; Viridiplantae; Streptophyta; Magnoliopsida; Malpighiales; Euphorbiaceae. The record is from RNAcentral.
GUAAAGAGCCGUAGUUUACCAUGGGAGAAUGCUGAAAUGGAUGCAAUUCACUCUUUGCAGCUUAUUCUUCGAGACUCAUUUAGGGAUGCUGAAGCAAGCAAUUCCAAAGCUAUUGCAAAUACCCAACUUGGGGAUCUGGAGUUGCAAGGAAUGGAUGAACUCAGCUCAGUGGCAAGGGAAAUGGUUAGGCUAAUAGAGACUGCAACUGCUCCUAUAUUUGCUGUAGAUGUUGAUGGCUGCAUAAAUGGUUGGAAUGCAAAAGUUGCUGAGUUGACAGGGCUCUCAGUUGAGGAAGCUAUGGGAAAGUCUUUGGUUCAUGAUCUUGUUUAUAAGGAGUAUGAAGAAACUGUUGGCAAGCUUCUUUCUCAUGCUUUAAGAGGCAAAGAAGAUAAGAAUGUAGAAAUAAAAUUGAGGACAUUUGGCUCUGAACAAGAAAAGAAGGCUGUUUUUGUGGUGGUGAAUGCUUGUUCUAGCAAAGAUUACAUGAAUAAUAUAGUUGGAGUGUGCUUUGUUGGUCAGGAUAUUACUGGUCAAAAAGUGGUAAUGGACAAAUUCAUCCAUAUCCAAGGUGAUUACAGGGCUAUUGUUCAUAGUCCAAAUCCUUUGAUCCCUCCGAUAUUUGCUUCAGAUGAAAACACUUGCUGCUUGGAGUGGAACACUGCAAUGGAAAAGCUUACAGGGUGGACCCGAGGAGAAAUUAUUGGGAAGAUGUUGGUUGGGGAGGUUUUUGGCAGUUGCUGUCGGCUGAAGGGUCCAGAUGCAUUGACAAAAUUCAUGAUUGUCCUGCACAGUGCAAUUGGAGGACAGGAUACAGACAAAUAUCCAUUUUCCUUCUUGGAUCGGAAUGGAAAAUUUGUCCAAGCUCUUUUGACAGCAAACAAAAGGAUAGAUAUGGGGGGCNNNNNNNNGAGCCUUCUGCUUCUUGCAGAUUGCAAGUCAUGAGUUGCAGCAAGCUUUGAAAGUCCAGAGGCA